CCCUUAGAUGUUCUGGGCUGCACGCGUGUUGCAAUCGGGCGUACAACAAGAUUGCAAAUCCUAGUGGAUGAGUGGUUCUUCGAAAUUUUCUGAAGACUGGGAUAGUUGAUUGAAAUUAUUCAACUCAAACGAGGAAUUCCUUGUAAUUGUAAUUCAUUAUAUUGUAAUGAAUACGUCCCUGCCCUUUGUACACACCGCCCGUCGCACCUACCGAUUGAACGAUCCGGUGAAUUAUUUGGAGUAGCUCUGGAAGUUGCAGAACUUCCUAUGUCACGAAAUUUUGUAAACCUUAUCGUUUAGAGGAAGGAAAAGUCGUAACA
Molecule: ribosomal RNA, 320 nt
Filed under: uncultured eukaryote
Lineage: Eukaryota
Description: partial 18S ribosomal RNA
Rfam family: Eukaryotic small subunit ribosomal RNA
Source: RNAcentral